RNAcentral lists this long non-coding RNA (266 nucleotides) under Elaeis guineensis (African oil palm). RNAcentral describes it as "long non-coding RNA (EGUI_LNC007781)". The record is from RNAcentral. Lineage: Eukaryota; Viridiplantae; Streptophyta; Magnoliopsida; Arecales; Arecaceae.
CCGGCCGUCGCAACAGCAGUCACCGUCUGAUUUUUAAGUUGAGGGCAAUCUCUGGCUAGAUGCCCAAACUCCUCACACCGAUAACACCUGAUUUUGCUCAAGUCUCUCCUGGACUUGGACCGCCCUCGUUAUGAUCUCCUGUCGCUCCGUCUACCGCCUCCUACUCCUUCAGAAACCACCAAAGCUGAGCUAUCGCCACCUGAGCUCGAAGCUGGAUUCUCUCUCCUGAGAACCUCGUUCUGGAGUAUCGCUGCGGUGACCUCAUC